CCUACGGGAGGCAGCAGUGAGGAAUAUUGGUCAAUGGCCGUAAGGCUGAACCAGCCAAGUAGCGUGAGGGAAGACUGCCCUAUGGGUUGUAAACCUCUUUUAUGCGGGGAUAAAGGUGUCCACGUGUGGAUGUUUGCAGGUACCGCAUGAAUAAGGACCGGCUAAUUCCGUGCCAGCAGCCGCGGUAAUACGGAAGGUCCGGGCGUUAUCCGGAUUUAUUGGGUUUAAAGGGAGCGUAGGCCGGUCUUUAAGCGUGACGUGAAAUUUUGUGGCUCAACCAUGAGAGUGCGGCGCGAACUGGAGGCCUUGAGGGCGCGGAAGGCAGGCGGAAUUCGUGGUGUAGCGGUGAAAUGCUUAGAUAUCACGAAGAACCCCGAUUGCGAAGGCAGCCUGCCGCAGCGUUACUGACGCUGAAGCUCGAAAGCGCGGGUAUCGAACAGGAUUAGAUACCCGUGUAGUC
RNAcentral lists this ribosomal RNA (460 nucleotides) under uncultured bacterium. RNAcentral's name for it is "partial 16S ribosomal RNA". It matches the Rfam family "Bacterial small subunit ribosomal RNA", at positions 338 to 795 of the family's 1533-position model. The record is from RNAcentral.